AAAAUGCGAUAAGUAAUGUGAAUUGCAGAAUUCAGUGAAUCAUCGAAUCUUUGAACGCACAUUGCGCCCGCCAGUCUUCUGGCGGGCAUGCCUGUUCGAGCGUCAUUUCAACCCUCAAGCCCCCGGGUUUGGUGUUGGGGAUCGGGCUGCGGUUCUACCGCGUCCCGGCCCCGAAAUCUAGUGGCGGUCUCGCUGCAGCCUCCAUUGCGUAGUAGCUAACACCUCGCAACUGGAACGCGGCGCGGCCAAGCCGUUAAACCCCCAACUUCUGAAUGUUGACCUCGGAUCAGGUAGGAAUACCCGCUGAACUUAAGC
Molecule: unclassified non-coding RNA, 315 nt
Filed under: plant metagenome
Description: partial contains 5.8S ribosomal RNA, internal transcribed spacer 2, and large subunit ribosomal RNA
Rfam family: 5.8S ribosomal RNA (bases 1-105)
Source: RNAcentral